This 579-nucleotide ribosomal RNA is filed under the name uncultured anaerobic bacterium. RNAcentral describes it as "bacterial SSU rRNA". It matches the Rfam family "Bacterial small subunit ribosomal RNA", at positions 354 to 915 of the family's 1533-position model. The record is from RNAcentral.
GUGGGGAAUCUUGCGCAAUGGGCGAAAGCCUGACGCAGCGACGCCGCGUGAGGGAAGAAGGCCUUCGGGUUGUAAACCUCUUUCAGGAGGGACGAAGCUACUCGGGUUAAUGUCCAACAGGAAAUCGUCGUGCCAGUACCUCCAGAGCAACCCCCGUCUAACUCCGGGGCCGCAGCUUCUCUGAUAUUUGGGGGGGGUAACGUGGUUCGGAGUGAUUGGGCGUAUAGGACGUGAAAGCGCCAGGCUAAGUCGGAAGUGGACUCUCAAAGCUUAACUGUUAGCGUGCCUUGGAAGGACUGUCUGGCUUGAGUUCGGAAGGGGGAAAUGGAAUUCCUGCUGUAGAAAUGCAAUGGGUAAAAAUCAGGACCAACACCGGUGGCGACGGCCACUACCUGGACCGAUGCUGACACUCAGGCUCGAAAGCCCGGGGAGUCCACAGGAUUAGAUACCCUGGUAGUCCACAGAGUAAACAUUGUCACACUAGGUGUUGGGUCCAUUCGACAUCUUCCGUGCCCCAGCGGACACAAUAAGUGUGGCGCCUGCGGAGACGACUUCAGGUUGAAACUCUAUGAGUUGACG